This 496-nucleotide ribosomal RNA is filed under the name uncultured bacterium. RNAcentral's name for it is "partial 16S ribosomal RNA". It matches the Rfam family "Bacterial small subunit ribosomal RNA", at positions 29 to 507 of the family's 1533-position model. The record is from RNAcentral.
ACGAACGCUGGCGGCGUGCCUAAUACAUGCAAGUUGAGCGCUGAAGGUUGGUACUUGUACCAACUGGAUGAGCAGCGAACGGGUGAGUAACGCGUGGGGAAUCUGCCUUUGAGCGGGGGACAACAUUUGGAAACGAAUGCUAAUACCGCAUAAAAACUUUAAACACAAGUUUUAAGUUUGAAAGAUGCAAUUGCAUCACUCAAAGAUGAUCCCGCGUUGUAUUAGCUAGUUGGUGAGGUAAAGGCUCACCAAGGCGAUGAUACAUAGCUGACCUGAGAGGGUGAUCGGCCACAUUGGGACUGAGACACGGCCCAAACUCCUACGGGAGGCAGCAGUAGGGAAUCUUCGGCAAUGGACGAAAGUCUGAUCGAGCAACGCCGCGUGAGGGAAGAAGGUUUUCGGAUCGUAAAACUCUGUUGGUAGAGAAGAACGUUGGUGAGAGUGGAAAGCUCAUCAAGUGACGGUAACUACCCAGAAAGGGACGGCUAACUACGUG